CACUCUGAUUGGACUGAAAAAAUCAAGGGCAAUAAUCCAGACACUAAAGUAAAUCUGGAAUCCAGAAUGCCACACAAGAUGACGGAUUGAUGACCAGAUGAGCCUAUGGAUGCUCUCACAUCAACGAACACGAAAAAGCAGAGCGAUCACAACAUAAAUAGACAGACUGCAGGAUGGAUGAAUUCAUAGAUCUUUUAGAGAAGGUCAAACUUCUGUGAACUCACUCUCACUCUCAAACCAUCGUGAAAAGAAGAGAAAUUGAUUGCCGCUCACAAAAGGGUUGAAAUGACCAAGAAAUUAUUUUUCUGGGCAAUGAACAUUGUGAGUGAGUGAGAGAGAGAGAGAGAGAGGGAGAGAAAGGGGGAAAAAUGCACAGCCUCUUUGUAUGAAUUGUCUCAAAAGUAACUAUAGUCAUCUUCAAGAUGUUGCCAGUGUUCUGGUCAAAUGGUCACUCUACCAGACCAGAGCGGUUUUGAGUUUCGGUACCUCAUCUGAAGUUUGGCCUCGAAUGUAGCCUUCACAUUUCGCCAAAGGAGAUGGUCAUGAUGUCAUCAUUUCACCUGUCAAGAGUCUGUCAAGAUUGCCUUGGAGACAACUGGCACCCCUGGAACUCUAGUGCCCCAUGGCACAAGCUUUCGAUUGUGGAUAUCACAGUUCCUCGAUUGAUGGAUGCCUCAGUCCACACUAUAUUACCCUGCUGGGGUGACAAAGAAGACAUCUAACACUCCCACCCCUGUGCAAAUAAAGACAUCUAGGGGGGGAAAAUGAAUGCUUCUUUAAUCAUAUGACGUCUGUGUGCACCAAGCCAUUCAAACGGCGCGCCACUAAUGGACUGCUGAUGAAUAGACAAAGGGAACAACCAUCCACAGUGAGCAGAACAAAUAGGCCUCCAGCACAAAUGGAGAUAAAAAAUAAUUUACAACAACUCUGUAAACUGCAACAUGAAGCUGCCUGCUGUUAUUUACAAAAAUCUCCCAGGUACUACAGGUUCUUUGGUUUCCCAGCAUGCACUUCUUCCUCACAGUGACUAGGAUGUUGAGGUUCAGAUUUGCCACUCUGGACUGUUGAGAGACUCCUUCAAAUAAUAACAUUUAUUAAUGCAACACACAAUGUGUAAAUACAUAGGGUAUGUAAACUUUAUCAUUUAGUAAAAUUGUAAUAGAAAACGUAGUGUACAUUUGAUUUGUUA
Molecule: long non-coding RNA, 1189 nt
Filed under: Sinocyclocheilus anshuiensis
Lineage: Eukaryota; Metazoa; Chordata; Actinopteri; Cypriniformes; Cyprinidae
Description: lncRNA (ENSSANG00000017971.1)
Source: RNAcentral